This 492-nucleotide ribosomal RNA is filed under the name uncultured bacterium. Its description in RNAcentral is "partial 16S ribosomal RNA". It matches the Rfam family "Bacterial small subunit ribosomal RNA", at positions 29 to 507 of the family's 1533-position model. The record is from RNAcentral.
AGUGAACGCUGGCGGUAGGCCUAACACAUGCAAGUCGAACGGCAGCACAGUAAGAGCUUGCUCUUACGGGUGGCGAGUGGCGGACGGGUGAGGAAUACAUCGGAAUCUACUUUUUCGUGGGGGAUAACGUAGGGAAACUUACGCUAAUACCGCAUACGACCUACGGGUGAAAGCAGGGGAUCUUCGGACCUUGCGCGAUUGAAUGAGCCGAUGUCGGAUUAGCUAGUUGGCGGGGUAAAGGCCCACCAAGGCGACGAUCCGUAGCUGGUCUGAGAGGAUGAUCAGCCACACUGGAACUGAGACACGGUCCAGACUCCUACGGGAGGCAGCAGUGGGGAAUAUUGGACAAUGGGCGCAAGCCUGAUCCAGCCAUACCGCGUGGGUGAAGAAGGCCUUCGGGUUGUAAAGCCCUUUUGCUGGGAAAGAAAAGCGGCAGGUUAAUACCCCGCUGUUCUGACGGUACCCAAAGAAUAAGCACCGGCUAACUUCGUG